AUUUCUGUACCUAUGGGCAUAGGAAAACUCGCUAUCUAGAAAUUCAAUCCACUAUCUUAUUCCAGUCAACAUUCAGAAAAUUAAUUUAUUUGACUGCAAUAAAUAAUCAAACUUUAAUUCAAUAUCACUAAUAGCUUAUAUAUUUUUCAUUAUCUAUAGGAUGCUGUGGCUAUUCCUGAGCAUAAUGAAAAAUACAAAUAACUUUAAUUCAAUAUCAGUAAUACCUUAUAUAUUUUUCAUUAUCUAUAGGAUGCUGUGGCUACUCCUGAGCAUAAUGAAAAAUACA
This 286-nucleotide long non-coding RNA is filed under the name Ananas comosus (pineapple). RNAcentral's name for it is "long non-coding RNA (ACOM_LNC019534)". Lineage: Eukaryota; Viridiplantae; Streptophyta; Magnoliopsida; Poales; Bromeliaceae. The record is from RNAcentral.